CAGGGGGCAGCCUGCUGCGGGUGGCUUGUUCCUUUCAGGCGGCCACGCUCCCGUCCAGGUAUCGGGAGGCCCGGCUGGGAAGCACGCUCCUUGGUGCAACUUCAUACCAGGACAUUCGAGAGGGUUAUGGGAAACCAUUUUUCCCUUACUCUGUCAUCUGGAAUGACACGGAUUCAGGGCGUGUAAAAAGCGUGUCCUUUAAUUUAUGGCGACAUAAACAAACCUGAGCAGCCUGGACUGAAAAUCAGAGAUGAAGGUGAUAGGAGAGAAGCGUUGGCGUGGAUAAUGCUGUUAACAUCCUUUUACCUCCUGUGACGGGGCUCCGGGAGGGAUGGCUUCGGCACGCGGGGUCUUUGCAACAUGUUCUGCUCACAUUAAAACUGUAGAAAUAGCAGUCGUUGUUUACUUCCUGCAUUGGAAGAGGGCGUUUUUAAGAGCCGAAGGAAAGCACUUCACUGGCAAGGAUUGGAGAAUAAGAAGUCAGUCUACAUUCAGAAAAGCGUAUAUAGCAGGCGCUACAGGAAAGGAACCCCAGAAAGUGGUCCACUGCCAGAAUGAUGACGACUCCUGGAACUUUCUCUGA
This 583-nucleotide long non-coding RNA is filed under the name Felis catus (domestic cat). RNAcentral describes it as "lncRNA (ENSFCAG00000051725.1)". Lineage: Eukaryota; Metazoa; Chordata; Mammalia; Carnivora; Felidae. The record is from RNAcentral.